This 46-nucleotide non-coding RNA is filed under the name Schistosoma margrebowiei. Lineage: Eukaryota; Metazoa; Platyhelminthes; Trematoda; Strigeidida; Schistosomatidae. The record is from RNAcentral.
ACACUGCUGAGGAGUCCAGUACUAAGACGAAACGACCGUCUAGUGU